AUUGAACGCUGGCGGCAGGCCUAACACAUGCAAGUCGAGCGGCAGCACGGGUACUUGUACCUGGUGGCGAGCGGCGGACGGGUGAGUAAUGCCUAGGAAUCUGCCUGGUAGUGGGGGAUAACGCUCGGAAACGGACGCUAAUACCGCAUACGUCCUACGGGAGAAAGCAGGGGACCUUCGGGCCUUGCGCUAUCAGAUGAGCCUAGGUCGGAUUAGCUAGUUGGUGAGGUAAUGGCUCACCAAGGCGACGAUCCGUAACUGGUCUGAGAGGAUGAUCAGUCACACUGGAACUGAGACACGGUCCAGACUCCUACGGGAGGCAGCAGUGGGGAAUAUUGGACAAUGGGCGAAAGCCUGAUCCAGCCAUGCCGCGUGUGUGAAGAAGGUCUUCGGAUUGUAAAGCACUUUAAGUUGGGAGGAAGGGCAGUUACCUAAUACGUAUCUGUUUUGACGUUACCGACAGAAUAAGCACCGGCUAACUCUGUG
This 486-nucleotide ribosomal RNA is filed under the name uncultured organism. RNAcentral's name for it is "bacterial SSU rRNA". It matches the Rfam family "Bacterial small subunit ribosomal RNA", at positions 30 to 507 of the family's 1533-position model. The record is from RNAcentral.